Molecule: unclassified non-coding RNA, 377 nt
Filed under: uncultured Thermoleophilia bacterium
Lineage: Bacteria; Bacillati; Actinomycetota; Thermoleophilia
Description: contains 16S-23S intergenic spacer region
Source: RNAcentral
UCCGGUUUGUCACCGGCAGUCUCGCAUGAGUCCCCGGCCGAACCGCUGGCAACAUGCGACGGGGGUUGCGCUCGUUGCGGGACUUAACCCAACAUCUCACGACACGAGCUGACGACAGCCAUGCACCACCUGUGAAAGCGUCCCGAAGGAACCCCGUGUUUCCACGGGUAGCGCUUACAUGUCAAGCCCAGGUAAGGUUCUUCGCGUUGCGUCGAAUUGAACCACAUGCUCCGCUGCUUGUGCGGGUCCCCGUCAAUUCCUUUGAGUUUUAGCCUUGCGGCCGUACUCCCCAGGCGGGGCACUUAAUGCGUUAGCUACGGCACGGAAGGAGUCGACACCUCCCACACCUAGUGCCCAUCGUUUACGGCGUGGACUAC